AAUGAACGCUGGCGGCAGGCCUAACACAUGCAAGUCGAACGGGUCCUUCGGGACUAGUGGCGGACGGGUGUGUAACGCGUGGGAACGUGCCCUUUGCUACGGAAUAGCCUCUGGAAACGGAGAGUAAUACCGUAUGUGCCCUUUGGGGGAAAGAUUUAUCGGCAAAGGAUCGGCCCGCGUUGGAUUAGGUAGUUGGUGGGGUAAUGGCCUACCAAGCCGACGAUCCAUAGCUGGUUUGAGAGGAUGAUCAGCCACACUGGGACUGAGACACGGCCCAGACUCCUACGGGAGGCAGCAGUGGGGAAUCUUAGACAAUAGGGGAAACCCUGAUCUAGCCAUGCCGCGUGAUCGAUGAAGGCCUUAGGGUUGUAAAGAUCUUUCAGGUGGGAAGAUAAUGACGGUACCACCAGAAGAAGCCCCGGCUAACUCCGUGCCAGCCGCCGCUGUAA
Molecule: ribosomal RNA, 449 nt
Filed under: uncultured bacterium
Lineage: Bacteria
Description: partial 16S ribosomal RNA
Rfam family: Bacterial small subunit ribosomal RNA
Source: RNAcentral